GACGAACGCUGGCGGCGUGCUUAACACAUGCAAGUCGAACGGAAAGGCCCUGCUUUUGUGGGGUGCUCGAGUGGCGAACGGGUGAGUAACACGUGAGUAACCUGCCCUUGACUUUGGGAUAACUUCAGGAAACUGGGGCUAAUACCGGAUAGGAGCCCCUGCUGCAUGGUGGGGGUUGGAAAGUUUCGGCGGUUGGGGAUGGACUCGCGGCUUAUCAGCUUGUUGGUGGGGUAGUGGCUUACCAAGGCUUUGACGGGUAGCCGGCCUGAGAGGGUGACCGGCCACAUUGGGCCUGCGAUACGGCCCAGACUCCUACGGGAGGCAGCGGUGGGGAAUAUUGCACAAUGGGCGGAAGCCUGAUGCAGCAACGCCGCGUGCGGGAUGACGGCCUUCGGGUUGUAAACCGCUUUCGCCUGUGACGAAGCGUGAGUGACGGUAAUGGGUAAAGAAGCACCGGCUAACUACGUG
RNAcentral lists this ribosomal RNA (468 nucleotides) under uncultured bacterium. Its description in RNAcentral is "partial 16S ribosomal RNA". It matches the Rfam family "Bacterial small subunit ribosomal RNA", at positions 28 to 507 of the family's 1533-position model. The record is from RNAcentral.